UUGUCAUUUGCAGAAGAACUGGUAGGGAAAUUCGAGUCAAGUCAUAAGAACCAUAAGGCCUCCAGACAAUGAGGAUAUAUUUGAAGGAUGAAUAAAAAUUAUUAUAUUGAAGAUCUCAAAAGGUGAAGCAGCUAGCAAAUCAACUACAAGCACUAUCUAAAACGACAAGUACUGUCUAAAAAAAUAUUGCUGAACUUGUAACUAAUACUGGUGAUAUUUUUCUUUUCUUUUCUUUUAAACAUUAGCUAAUACUGGUGAUACGAUGUUCCUUAUGUAACAUUACAAAGACGUAUCUAGAUUAAUCUUUCUUUUCACACAUACACACACAUGCAUGUGCUCAUGCAUACAUACACCUGCAUGCAUACACAAACGUGUGCGGGCACGCACACAACCUAUAUCUAUAGGAAAACACUUAAAGAUGCAUAUAGGUGAAGUUCUACCGUACUUCACCCAUAGCCCAUCAGCUCACACGGUCACGGUAGUUAGAUCGUGUCUAAAUUUUAAUAAUUUUUUCAAAGACUUGAAAUUUUUUCAAAAGUGUAUGCCGUAGUGAGGUGCACCUGAAUAAAAUAUAAAAAAAAUAUUAAUUUGAAUGAUAAAAUGCCCAAAAUACCCCUGUAAAGUUUCAAGCGUAUUUUCAUCAUUUUAUUGUUUGACAAUUAUUUUAUUUAAUAUUUUAUUUUGGUGCAAUCUGGUCAAAUGAACACAUGUCCAAAAUUUCAAAUAAAUCUGAUUAGCAAAAAAUUUAUUAAAAUUCAAAAACCAUCAGACAACCAUGACUGUGUGAUGGAUUUUGGAUGGUGAUGUGGGUGAUGUACUAUAAAAAAAA
This 829-nucleotide long non-coding RNA is filed under the name Amborella trichopoda. RNAcentral's name for it is "long non-coding RNA (ATRI_LNC005380)". The record is from RNAcentral. Lineage: Eukaryota; Viridiplantae; Streptophyta; Magnoliopsida; Amborellales; Amborellaceae.